Podarcis lilfordi (Lilford's wall lizard) is the source of this 69-nucleotide non-coding RNA. Lineage: Eukaryota; Metazoa; Chordata; Lepidosauria; Squamata; Lacertidae. The record is from the annotation of a GenBank genome assembly.
GGCAUAGCUCAGUGGAAGAGCAGCUGCCCUGCAUGCAGAAGGUCCCAGCCUCAAUCCCUGGCAUCUCCA